UAACGGAGUGCCGAUGCAAUGCGGAUGAUGCGCAUGAUGCUAUGAUGAAUGGAGCAAACAAAUAAAUGACACGACGGCAAUGGACUAAAAGGGAAAUCUUCUGGAGCGUCGGUCUCGGGUUGUUACACGACGUGGGAGGGAUAAAUUAAAAAUGAAGUAUUUCUAGUAUUUUCUAUAUUGCCAUGGGAAAUUUUCUAGGAGCAAGCACGAUGGAGUGGGAUCCAACAAGUCUCGAAGAACUAGGUUACAAUCAUCUGCUCACACAAAUCACAACAACAACAAGACAAUUUGUUAUUUUAACUUACAAGAUUUUCAUACUAAAAUUGUGUCGCUGGAGGAGGCCAUACUUUGGUAUGGCUACAGUCGAGUUUUUGGAACAGACUACACGAGGAUCUAAAGGAACCUCUUAAAUAACAAGUGAGGCAAGUGUCAUCUUAUCUUGUUCUGAUGGACUGAUAACCACGCGAUCCGACUUAGCAGGUCCAUCUAUGUUAUGCUUGCAGUCUUUAUGUAUUUCGAGACUGAAUAGACAUUAACAUGAGACAACCCAAAUAGUUUGUAAUGCUUUAGAAUUUCAGAUAGGUAGCUCAAGUGAAGAAACAUAAUGGCUAGAGGAUAUUCUUUGUACUGAACACAUUAAUGUAAGAGCAAAUGAGCAAUAGAAUAGGAAAUCAUCUACAUGUGCCCUAUAUCUCCCCUAUAUGCAUUCAACCAUAUAUAUUUACCCUUUGGGGGCCAUAGUAGCAUAUAAACCGCAUUAGUUUAGCAUGUUGCAAGACGGUGAUCUUCGUCUGGCAAUAUCGCUCGAAUACAAAGACAUGGUAGGUCUAGGAAGCACCGGGAAAUAGGUUAGCACUUGAUCUCUUACAAUUGCUAGAUAAGAACAUGGCAAAAGUCCUGAGAAAAUUUAUGGAGUACAUUGCAAAAGUUACACGGUUGCAAUCUUUUUCUCAAUGGGAGCAUUACAAAUAUGUGUUAUCAGCGCGUGAUAUAUCAUUAGCUCAUCAACUAUGAAGCCGUGCAACAAUUCUGGUUCAUUGCCGAGUUUCUCAGCACAGGAAGUGCAUUUCAGAGCUGCUCGCGUUGACCAGACAUCCCUCAAUUGCCUUAUGAUAUCAUAUGGAGUCUGGAACUCUGGAUCAAUUUAAAUGACAAGUCCGUCAG
Molecule: long non-coding RNA, 1164 nt
Filed under: Hordeum vulgare
Lineage: Eukaryota; Viridiplantae; Streptophyta; Magnoliopsida; Poales; Poaceae
Description: long non-coding RNA (HVUL_LNC002633)
Source: RNAcentral